Molecule: ribosomal RNA, 561 nt
Filed under: uncultured Alphaproteobacteria bacterium
Lineage: Bacteria; Pseudomonadati; Pseudomonadota; Alphaproteobacteria
Description: bacterial SSU rRNA
Rfam family: Bacterial small subunit ribosomal RNA
Source: RNAcentral
UCCUACGGGAGGCAGCAGUGGGGAAUCUUAGACAAUGGGCGCAAGCCUGAUCUAGCCAUGCCGCGUGUGUGAUGAAGGUCUUAGGAUCGUAAAGCWCUUUCGCCAGGGAUGAUAAUGACAGUACCUGGUAAAGAAACCCCGGCUAACUCCGUGCCAGCAGCCGCGGUAAUACGGAGGGGGUUAGCGUUGUUCGGAAUUACUGGGCGUAAAGCGUACGUAGGCGGAUCAGAAAGUAGGGGGUGAAAUCCCAGGGCUCAACCCUGGAACUGCCUCCUAAACUCCUGGUCUUGAGUUCGAGAGAGGUGAGUGGAAUUCCAAGUGUAGAGGUGAAAUUCGUAGAUAUUUGGAGGAACACCAGUGGCGAAGGCGGCUCACUGGCUCGAUACUGACGCUGAGGUACGAAAGUGUGGGGAGCAAACAGGAUUAGAUACCCUGGUAGUCCACACCGUAAACGAUGAAUGCCAGUCGUCGGGCAGUAUACUGUUCGGUGACACACCUAACGGAUUAAGCAUUCCGCCUGGGGAGUACGGUCGCAAGAUUAAAACUCAAAGGAAUUGACGG